RNAcentral lists this ribosomal RNA (468 nucleotides) under uncultured bacterium. RNAcentral describes it as "partial 16S ribosomal RNA". It matches the Rfam family "Bacterial small subunit ribosomal RNA", at positions 28 to 507 of the family's 1533-position model. The record is from RNAcentral.
GACGAACGCUGGCGGCGUGCUUAACACAUGCAAGUCGAACGGAAAGGCCCUGCUUUUGUGGGGUGCUCGAGUGGCGAACGGGUGAGUAACACGUGAGUAACCUGCCCUUGACUUUGGGAUAACUUCAGGAAACUGGGGCUCAUACCGGAUAGGAGCUCCUGCUGCAUGGUGGGGGUUGGAAAGAUUCGGCGGUUGGGGAUGGACUCGCGGCUUAUCAGCUUGUUGGUGGGGUAGUGGCUUACCAAGGCUUUGACGGGUAGCCGGCCUGAGAGGGUGACCGGCCACAUUGGGACUGAGAUACGGCCCAGACGCCUACGGGAGGCAGCAGUGGGGAAUAUUGCACAAUGGGCGGAAGCCUGAUGCAGCAACGCCGCGUGCGGGAUGACGGCCUUCGGGUUGUAAACCGCUUUCGCCUGUGACGAAGCGUGAGUGACGGUAAUGGGUAAAGAAGCACCGGCUAACUACGUG